AGUGAACGCUGGCGGCAGGCCUAACACAUGCAAGUCGAACGGCAGGACAGUAAUAGCUUGCUCUUACGGGUGGCGAGUGGCGGAUGGGUGAGGAAUACAUCGGAAUCUACUUUUUCGUGGGGGAUAACGUAGGGAAACUGACGCUAAUACCGCAUACGACCUACGGGAGAAAGCAGGGGAUCUUGGGACCUUGCGCGAUUGAAUGAGCCGAUGUCGGAUUAGCUAGUUGGCGGGGUAAAGGCACACCAAGGCAACGAUCCGUAGCUGAUCUGAGAGGAUGAUCAGCCACACUGGAACUGAGACACGGUCCAGACUCCUACGGGAGGCAGCAGUAGGGAAUAUUGGACAAUGGGCGAAAGCCUGAUCCAGCAAAACCGCGUGGGUGAAGAAGGUCUUCGGGUUGUAAAACCCUUUUGUUGGGGAAGAACAGAUGCAGGUUAAUACCCCGCUGUUCUGACGGUACCCAAAGAAUAAGCCCCGGCUAACUUCGUG
This 492-nucleotide ribosomal RNA is filed under the name uncultured bacterium. RNAcentral's name for it is "partial 16S ribosomal RNA". It matches the Rfam family "Bacterial small subunit ribosomal RNA", at positions 29 to 507 of the family's 1533-position model. The record is from RNAcentral.